RNAcentral lists this ribosomal RNA (484 nucleotides) under uncultured bacterium. Its description in RNAcentral is "partial 16S ribosomal RNA". It matches the Rfam family "Bacterial small subunit ribosomal RNA", at positions 30 to 507 of the family's 1533-position model. The record is from RNAcentral.
AUUGAACGCUGGCGGCAGGCCUAACACAUGCAAGUCGAGCGGAUGAAGGGAGCUUGCUCCUGGAUUCAGCGGCGGACGGGUGAGUAAUGCCUAGGAAUCUGCCUGGUAGUGGGGGAUAACGUCCGGAAACGGGCGCUAAUACCGCAUACGUCCUGAGGGAGAAAGUGGGGGAUCUUCGGACCUCACGCUAUCAGAUGAGCCUAGGUCGGAUUAGCUAGUUGGUGGGGUAAAGGCCUACCAAGGCGACGAUCCGUAACUGGUCUGAGAGGAUGAUCAGUCACACUGGAACUGAGACACGGGCCAGACUCCUACGGGAGGCAGCAGUGGGGAAUAUUGGACAAUGGGCGAAAGCCUGGUCCAGCCAUGCCGCGUGUGUGAAGAAGGUCUUCGGAUUGUAAAGCCCUUUAAGUUGGGAGGAAGGGCAGUAAGUUAAUACCUUGCUGUUUUGACGUUACCAACAGAAUAAGCACCGGCUAACUUCGUG